RNAcentral lists this ribosomal RNA (468 nucleotides) under uncultured bacterium. Its description in RNAcentral is "partial 16S ribosomal RNA". It matches the Rfam family "Bacterial small subunit ribosomal RNA", at positions 28 to 507 of the family's 1533-position model. The record is from RNAcentral.
GACGAACGCUGGCGGCGUGCUUAACACAUGCAAGUCGAACGGAAAGGCCCUGCUUUUGUGGGGUGCUCGAGUGGCGAACGGGUGAGUAACACGUGAGUAACCUGCCCUUGACUUUGGGAUAACUUUAGGAAACUGGGGCUAAUACCGGAUAGGAGCUCCUGCUGCAUGGUGGGGGUUGGAAAGUUUCGGCGGUUGGGGAUGGACUCGCGGCUUAUCAGCUUGUUGGUGGGGUAGUGGCUUACCAAGGCUUUGACGGGUAGCCGGCCUGAGAGGGUGACCGGCCACAUUGGGACUGAGAUACGGCCCAGACUCCUACGGGAGGCAGCAGUGGGGAAUAUUGCACAAUGGGCGGAAGCCUGAUGCAGCAACGCCGCGUGCGGGAUGACGGCCUUCGGGUUGUAAACCGCUUUCGCCUGUGACGAAGCGUGAGUGACGGUAAUGGGUAAAGAAGCAACGGCUAACUAUGUG